UGUAGGAGUGAGCCUGCUCGCGAUGACGGUGUGUCAGUCACCUCAAUGUUGAAUGAGCUGCCGCCAUCGCGAGCAGGCUCACUCCUACA
RNAcentral lists this non-coding RNA (89 nucleotides) under Pseudomonas sp. 29. The record is from RNAcentral. Lineage: Bacteria; Pseudomonadati; Pseudomonadota; Gammaproteobacteria; Pseudomonadales; Pseudomonadaceae.